GGCUUUAUAUUCAAGAAUGAUUUUAAAUUGCAAGUUUAAAGGUGAAGGUGUAGCUUCUAAGGCCU
Molecule: transfer RNA, 65 nt
Filed under: Teispes insularis
Lineage: Eukaryota; Metazoa; Arthropoda; Insecta; Coleoptera; Cerambycidae
Description: tRNA-Cys
Source: RNAcentral